GACGAACGCUGGCGGCGUGCUUAACACAUGCAAGUCGAACGAAGUCGCGCACGGGUGAGUAACGCGUAAACAACCUGCCCUUCAGUGGGGGACAACAGUUGGAAACGAAUGCUAAUACCGCAUACUGAAGGUGGGGAUUGCGUUUGAUUAGCUAGUUGGGGGGGUAACGGGCGACCAAGGGGAUGAUGAGGAGCCGGUCUUGGAGGGUGAACCGCCAAAGUGGGAACGGGGCACGGCCCAGGCUCCUACGGGAGGCAGCAGGGGGGAAUCUUCCGCAAUGGACGAAAGUCUGAAGGAGCAACGCCGCGUGAGGGAUGACGGCCUUCGGGUUGGAAAGCUCUGUUAAUCAGGACGCGGUACCGGAAUAGAAAGCCACGGCUAACUACGUGCCAGCAGCCGCGGUAAUAC
RNAcentral lists this ribosomal RNA (408 nucleotides) under uncultured bacterium. RNAcentral's name for it is "partial 16S ribosomal RNA". It matches the Rfam family "Bacterial small subunit ribosomal RNA", at positions 28 to 526 of the family's 1533-position model. The record is from RNAcentral.